CAGCAAAAUCACCAGUGUUAAAUUUUCAGGGAUGGUGUUAAAUAAACAGUGUUGAUGCUGUUUUAACACUAUCUGGUAAUAAAAUAACACUGCCAUUGCUAGGCCAGUGUUAUAUCCACGACAGUGUCAGUGUAAAACAAGGGUGUUAUCAGAUUUCACUCUGAGCGGUGUAAAUCAAGCCACGCCUCCACUAAACAUAUCCUGUCAGGGAUUUUACCGCCAUUUUCUUUCAAAGGAGGACUGAAGAGAGCAGAUGCUAGUUUGGUGAAAGUACACACUGAGUGCUUCAAAUCAUUCAGAAGAGAUGCUGUUUUUAAGGGCAGUUUAUUAAAGAAGACCUGACAUGGAUGACUUCCAGUGAGAAACGACUGCUAAUACUUAUAUAAAUUCAUUACAGAAGGACCCUGCCAGACUAUAUUUGAAUACGGCAUACCCAUGAAUUCUGAACUGUUAUUCCUUAACCCAGUUUGGAGGAUAAGAGCUUACCAACUAGUUAUGUGAGUACACACAGUACAUUAGUACUGUACACUGUCUCUAACAUGAUUUGUUAUACUGAGAUGAUUUUGAUUCAAAUAACGGUUAAAACUGCACCCUUUUUGGUAUUUUCUUGACUCUUUUUGUCUUUGAAAAUCUGCAGAAAUAUGCUGAGGCGAUGUAUUGCAAAAUAGCCAACAUACAACAAUUAAAGGAUA
This is a non-coding RNA of Misgurnus anguillicaudatus (oriental weatherfish), 692 nucleotides long. The record is from RefSeq and is a predicted model, not a curated record. Lineage: Eukaryota; Metazoa; Chordata; Actinopteri; Cypriniformes; Cobitidae.